CAGCAGCCGCGGGAAAACAGAGGGUGCGAGCGUUAAUCGGAUUUACUGGGCGUAAAGCUUGCGUAGGCGGCUUCUUAAGUCGGAUGUGAAAUCCCUGAGCUUAACUUAGGAAUUGCAUUCGAUACUGGGAAGCUAGAGUAUGGGAGAGGAUGGUAGAAUUCCAGGUGUAGCGGUGAAAUGCGUAGAGAUCUGGAGGAAUACCGAUGGCGAAGGCAGCCAUCUGGCCUAAUACUGACGCUGAGGUACGAAAGCAUGGGGAGCAAACAGGAUUAGAUACCCCUGUAGUCCAUGUCUCUUAUAU
This 301-nucleotide ribosomal RNA is filed under the name uncultured bacterium. RNAcentral describes it as "partial 16S ribosomal RNA". It matches the Rfam family "Bacterial small subunit ribosomal RNA", at positions 509 to 809 of the family's 1533-position model. The record is from RNAcentral.